UACGUAGGGUGCGAGCGUUGUCCGGAAUUAUUGGGCGUAAAGAGCUUGUAGGCGGUUUUGUCGCGUCUGCUGUGAAAAUCCGGGGCUCAACCCCGGACUUGCAGUGGGGUACGGGCAGACUAGAGUGUGGUAGGGGAGACUGGAAUUCCUGGUGUAGCGGUGAAAUGCGCAGAUAUCAGGAAGAACACCGAUGGCGAAGGCAGAUCUCUGGGCCGGUAACUG
RNAcentral lists this ribosomal RNA (222 nucleotides) under uncultured bacterium. RNAcentral describes it as "partial 16S ribosomal RNA". It matches the Rfam family "Bacterial small subunit ribosomal RNA", at positions 524 to 742 of the family's 1533-position model. The record is from RNAcentral.